UUCGGGAGAAUCCAGCGGAGAGAAUGUGGCAUUCAGGGAGAGGAGGGAAGACAAGAUGAGCGACGGCAGCCGGAGGGCCGUGUGAAGUACCAAAGUCCGAAAUCUGGAUGAAAGUCUUGUGGGGGGGUUUCCUGCGUGGGGGUGAAACUUUCAUCUGACGCUCUUGGAAGUUUAUAAAAACGCGUGGAAACGGGAUUUUCCUGGAAUACUAAUGCGCGGAUAAACGCUACUUUGGAAUCUUCCUGAACACCGACGCCGUGUCCGUUAAAUGUCGGGGAUUAAAAAGUUUCUGCGUGUUUACUGAAGAGGCGGCUUCCACACAGCCCCCACCCCCCCGCCAACCCUGGAAAUAACAACUGCCUGAAAUAAAGAGAGCGGGAAACUAAGCUGCAGAGAUCUUUCUCUCCUUUUAUCUCUCCUGGUGCUCAGAGGAAACCUCACCGAGGAGUUUUUUUCUUCACUUUGCUUCCUGGCUGUCAGCUGAGCGUCACAGGGAGGAAGUGGAGGUCUCACCUGAGGCAGGUGCACGUCUCCGGUGCUCAGCAUGAGGCCCUGAGGAGGCAGCGGGAUUUACUGUGAAGCUGGUUGGAUUUUAAGGAGGAGGAGGAGGGAGCAUGGGGAAGGAGCAGGACCUCCUGCAGGCGGUGAAGAGUGGAGACCUGCUGUCCACCCAGAAGCUGCUGUCCAAACUGAAGACCAACAGGAACAAGCUGCUGGGCUCCACUAAGAGGCUGAAUGUGAACUACCAGGACUCAGAUGGCGCGUGGGUUUGAGACGUUCAUCGGCCGCUUCAACACAGCAGCCUGGAAGGACACGAGGAGACUUUAAUCUGUCCUCGUCGAGUCCCCGAGGUUGUUUCCUCCCUCCUCAAUCUGACGAGCACGUCUUUAUAUCCUCUCUGUGCAUCCUGGAGGUCAAAUAAUAAUAGAGCAGGAAAAACAAAUAAAACGUUCAAUUAUGCUGUUCGACUAAUUUAUUGUAGAAAUGGAGUUAAUUAGACGGCGAUGUGCAGGUCAAAUAUCAACACCAGAUGUCUCUGUGGUGUAUCAGGUGUGGCGUCUGCCGUGGGUCCCAUGAAUCAGGAAGUGUCAGCUGGGCGUCGAGCUUCAUACAACACACGUUUGACUCCUUUCAGCUUUAAGUCGACACAAAAGCUCACAGACCGUCUGCAGACCACCGCGCCACCUUCAAGUGUCCGGCUCCUUUUGUGGGCUCCACAGAGGGCCGGAGGAGGAGGGCUGGUGGAAGCGGGGUCAAAGGUCAGGGGGGAGAGCGGCGACCAUUAAGAUAGGAGUGUUUACAAAGAGCCCGGAUGACUUAAUGCAGCGCUGACAGCAGAGGUCAGGAAAGGUUAAAGAGAGAGGAGACAAGUGGGCUCCUUAAGGACGGACGCUGGGAAAUAGUGUG
This is a long non-coding RNA of Pundamilia nyererei, 1407 nucleotides long. RefSeq lists it as uncharacterized. The record is from RefSeq and is a predicted model, not a curated record. NCBI's taxonomy places the organism in Eukaryota, Metazoa, Chordata, Actinopteri, Cichliformes, Cichlidae. The transcript is spliced from 4 exons.